AACGAACGCUGGCGGCAUGCCUAACACAUGCAAGUCGAACGAGAUCUUCGGGUCUAGUGGCGCACGGGUGCGUAACGCGUGGGAAUCUGCCCUUUGGUUCGGAUUAACAGUUGGGAACGACUGCUAAUACCGGAUGAUGACGAAAGUCCAAAGAUUUAUCGCCAGAGGAUGAGCCCGCGUAGGAUUAGCUAGUUGGUGUGGUAAAGGCGCACCAAGGCGACGAUCCUUAGCUGGUCUGAGAGGAUGAUCAGCCACACUGGGACUGAGACACGGCCCAGACUCCUACGGGAGGCAGCAGUGGGGAAUAUUGGACAAUGGGCGAAAGCCUGAUCCAGCAAUGCCGCGUGAGUGAUGAAGGCCUUAGGGUUGUAAAGCUCUUUUACCCGGGAUGAUAAUGACAGUACCGGGAGAAUAAGCUCCGGCUAACUCCGUGCCAGCCGCCGCGGUAA
Molecule: ribosomal RNA, 449 nt
Filed under: uncultured bacterium
Lineage: Bacteria
Description: partial 16S ribosomal RNA
Rfam family: Bacterial small subunit ribosomal RNA
Source: RNAcentral